GUGCUGCUCUGGCAGAACGUGCAGCACAUUUGCUGAAAUUGGAACCAAAGAAGACCAGCAUGGCUCCUGUACAAAAGGACAUGCGAAUUUGUGAAGCGCUAUAUAUUUAA
This 110-nucleotide small nuclear RNA is filed under the name Microtus ochrogaster (prairie vole). Lineage: Eukaryota; Metazoa; Chordata; Mammalia; Rodentia; Cricetidae. The record is from RNAcentral.